GCUAAUACCGCAUAUCUCUAUGGAGCAAAGCAGGGGACCUUCGGGCCUUGUGCUACCGGAUACGCCUAGGUGGGAUUAGCUAGUUGGUGAGGUAAUGGCUCACCAAGGCGACGAUCCCUAGCUGGUCUGAGAGGAUGAUCAGCCACACUGGAACUGAGACACGGUCCAGACUCCUACGGGAGGCAGCAGUGGGGAAUAUUGCACAAUGGGCGAAAGCCUGAUGCAGCCAUGCCGCGUGUAUGAAGAAGGCCUUCGGGUUGUAAAGUACUUUCAGCAGUGAGGAAGGGUGUGUACUUAAUACGUGCACAUCUUGACGUUAGCUGCAGAAGAAGCACCGGCUAACUCCGUGCCAGCAGCCGCGGUAAUACGGAGGGUGCGAGCGUUAAUCGGAAUUACUGGGCGUAAAGCGCAUGCAGGUGGUUCAUUAAGUCAGAUGUGAAAGCCCGGGGCUCAACCUCGGAACUGCAUUUGAAACUGGUGAACUAGAGUACUGUAGAGGGGGGUAGAAUUUCAGGUGUAGCGGUGAAAUGCGUAGAGAUCUGAAGGAAUACCAGUGGCGAAGGCGGCCCCCUGGA
This 575-nucleotide ribosomal RNA is filed under the name Mycosarcoma maydis (corn smut). RNAcentral's name for it is "bacterial SSU rRNA". It matches the Rfam family "Bacterial small subunit ribosomal RNA", at positions 162 to 733 of the family's 1533-position model. The record is from RNAcentral. Lineage: Eukaryota; Fungi; Basidiomycota; Ustilaginomycetes; Ustilaginales.